CCUACGGGGGGCUGCAGUCGAGAAUCAUUCACAAUGGGGGAAACCCUGAUGGUGCGACGCCGCGUGGGGGAAUGAAGGUCUUCGGAUUGUAAACCCCUGUCAUGUGGGAGCAAAUUAAAAAGAUAGUACCACAAGAGGAAGAGACGGCUAACUCUGUGCCAGCAGCAGCGGUAAUACAGAGGUCUCAAGCGUUGUUCGGAAUCUCUGGGCGUAAAGCGUGCGUAGGCUGUUUCGUAAGUCGUGUGUGAAAGGCGCGGGCUCAACCCGCGGACGGCACAUGAUACUGCGAGACUAGAGUAAGGGAGGGGGAACCGGAAUUCUCGGUGUAGCAGUGAAAUGCGUAGAUAUCGAGAGGAACACUCGGGGCGAAGGCGGGUUCCUGGACAUUAACUGACGCUGAGGCACGAAGGCCAGGGGAGCGAAAGGGAUUAGAUACCCCAGUAGUC
RNAcentral lists this ribosomal RNA (446 nucleotides) under uncultured bacterium. RNAcentral describes it as "partial 16S ribosomal RNA". It matches the Rfam family "Bacterial small subunit ribosomal RNA", at positions 338 to 795 of the family's 1533-position model. The record is from RNAcentral.